This 255-nucleotide ribosomal RNA is filed under the name uncultured bacterium. RNAcentral's name for it is "partial 16S ribosomal RNA". It matches the Rfam family "Bacterial small subunit ribosomal RNA", at positions 524 to 776 of the family's 1533-position model. The record is from RNAcentral.
UACGAAGGGGGCUAGCGUUGCUCGGAAUUACUGGGCGUAAAGGGCGCGUAGGCGGCACUGUUAGUCAGGCGUGAAAGUCCUGGGCUCAACCUGGGAACUGCGCUUGAUACGGCAGAGCUAGAGGAUGGAAGAGGCUCGCGGAAUUCCCAGUGUAGAGGUGAAAUGCGUAGAGAUCGGGAGGAACACCCUGUGGCGGAAGGCGGCCCCCUGGGCCGGCCCUGACACUGAGACGCGAAGGCGUGGGGAGCGAACGGG